This 508-nucleotide ribosomal RNA is filed under the name Cartodere (Aridius) sp. ARM1. Its description in RNAcentral is "partial 16S ribosomal RNA". It matches the Rfam family "Bacterial large subunit ribosomal RNA", at positions 1819 to 2600 of the family's 2925-position model. Lineage: Eukaryota; Metazoa; Arthropoda; Insecta; Coleoptera; Latridiidae. The record is from RNAcentral.
GUCCUUUUGAUUAUAAUUUAAGGUCUAACCUGCCCACUGAUUAAUUAAAUGGCCGCGGUAUCUUGACCGUGCAAAGGUAGCAUAAUCAUUAGUUUUUUAAUUGAAAGCUAGAAUGAAUGGUUGAAUAAGAAAAAAUCUGUCUCAGUUUAGAUUUAUUAAAACUUUAUUUUUAAGUGAAAAAGCUUAAAUAUGAUUUAAAGACGAGAAGACCCUAUAGAGUUUUAUAAAAAAUUUAUAUAAAAAUUUAAGUUUAAAAUUUUUUUGUGUAGGGGUUUUAUUUAAUUGGGGUGAUUAAAAAAUUUAAUAAACUUUUUUAUUUUCAUACAUUAAUUUAUGAUUAGUUGAUCCAUUUUAAUGAUUAAAAGAUAAAAUUACCUUAGGGAUAACAGCGUAAUUUUUUUUGAGAGUUCUUAUCGAAAAAAGAGAUUGCGACCUCGAUGUUGGAUUAAAAUUAAUAUUUGGUGAAGAAGCUAAAUUAUUAAGUCUGUUCGACUUUUAAAAUUUUACA